AGUGAACGCUGGCGGUAGGCCUAACACAUGCAAGUCGAACGGCAGCACAGGAGAGCUUGCUCUCUGGGUGGCGAGUGGCGGACGGGUGAGGAAUACAUCGGAAUCUACUCUGUCGUGGGGGAUAACGUAGGGAAACUUACGCUAAUACCGCAUACGACCUACGGGUGAAAGCAGGGGACCUUCGGGCCCUGCGCGAUUGAAUGAGCCGAUGUCGGACUUAGCUAGUUGGCGGGGUAAAGGCCAACCAAGGCGACGAUCCGUAGCUGGUCUGAGAGGAUGAUCGGCCACACUAGAACUGAGACACGGUCCAGACGCCUACGGGAGGCAGCAGUGGGGAAUAUUGGACAAUGGGCGCAAGCCUGAUCCAGCCAUACCGAGUGGGUGAAGAAGGCCUUCGGGUUGUAAAGCCCUUUUGUUGGGAAAGAAAUCCAGCCGGCUAAUACCUGGUUGGGAUGACGGUACCCAAAGAAUAAGCACCGGCUAACUUCGUGCCAGCCGCCGCCGUAA
Molecule: ribosomal RNA, 507 nt
Filed under: uncultured bacterium
Lineage: Bacteria
Description: partial 16S ribosomal RNA
Rfam family: Bacterial small subunit ribosomal RNA
Source: RNAcentral